This 376-nucleotide ribosomal RNA is filed under the name uncultured bacterium. RNAcentral describes it as "bacterial SSU rRNA". It matches the Rfam family "Bacterial small subunit ribosomal RNA", at positions 524 to 898 of the family's 1533-position model. The record is from RNAcentral.
UACGGAGGGUGCGAGCGUUGUUCGGAAUCACUGGGCGUAAAGCGCGUGUAGGCGGCUUCCUAAGUCUGAUGUGAAAGCCCGGGGCUUACCCCCGGAAGUGCAUUGGAAACUGAGAGGCUUGAGUACCGGAGAGGAAGGUGGAAUUCCUGGUGUAGCGGUGAAAUGCGUAGAUAUCAGGAGGAACACCGGUGGCGAAGGCGGCCUUCUGGACGGAUACUGACGCUGAGACGCGAAAGCGUGGGGAGCAAACAGGAUUAGAUACCCUGGUAGUCCACGCUGUAAACGAUGGGCACUAGGUGUUCGGGGUAUUGACCCCCUGAGUGCCGCAGCUAACGCAUUAAGUGCCCCGCCUGGGGACUACGGCCGCAAGGUUAAA